CAGCAGCCACGGUAAUACGGAGGGCGCGAGCGUUACCCGGAUUUACUGGGCGUAAAGGGCGUGUAGGCGGCCUGGGGCGUCCCAUGUGAAAGGCCACGGCUCAACCGUGGAGGAGUGUGGGAUACGCUCAGGCUAGAGGGUGGGAGGGGGUGGUGGAAUUCCCGGAGUAGCGGUGAAAUGCGCAGAUACCGGGAGGAACGCCGAUGGCGAAGGCAGCCACCUGGUCCACUUCUGACGCUGAGGCGCGAAAGCGUGGGGAGCAAACCGGAUUAGAUACCCGCGUAGUCCCUGUCUCUUAUCA
RNAcentral lists this ribosomal RNA (301 nucleotides) under uncultured bacterium. RNAcentral's name for it is "partial 16S ribosomal RNA". It matches the Rfam family "Bacterial small subunit ribosomal RNA", at positions 509 to 809 of the family's 1533-position model. The record is from RNAcentral.